Molecule: transfer RNA, 76 nt
Filed under: Candidatus Riflebacteria bacterium GWC2_50_8
Lineage: Bacteria; Candidatus Rifleibacteriota
Also listed under: 4 other names
Description: tRNA-Ala
Rfam family: tRNA
About the family: Transfer RNA (tRNA) molecules are approximately 80 nucleotides in length.
Source: RNAcentral
GGGGCUGUGGCGCAGUUGGGAGCGCGUUUGAAUGGCAUUCAAAAGGUCGUCGGUUCGAUCCCGAUCAGCUCCACCG